AGCAGCAUGGCGCAGAUGGAAGCGCGCGGGGCCCAUAACCCCGAGGUCACUCGAUCGAAACGAGUUGCUGCUA
Non-coding RNA from Mycena amicta, 73 nucleotides. Lineage: Eukaryota; Fungi; Basidiomycota; Agaricomycetes; Agaricales; Mycenaceae. The record is from the annotation of a GenBank genome assembly.